This 585-nucleotide long non-coding RNA is filed under the name Parus major (Great Tit). Its description in RNAcentral is "lncRNA (ENSPMJG00000007218.1)". The record is from RNAcentral. Lineage: Eukaryota; Metazoa; Chordata; Aves; Passeriformes; Paridae.
CCCAGAAUCCACCCCUGAAAUCCAUCCCAGAAUCCAUUGCUGGGAUCCAUCCCAGGGAUCCUUCCCAGGAAUCCACCCCUGGAACCCACCCCAGGAUCCACCCCAGGGAUCCACCCCAGGAAUCCACCCCAGGAUCCAUUCCAGGGAUCCAUCCCAGGAAUCCACCCUAGGAUCCACCCCUGGAACCCAUCCCAGGAAUCCACCCCAGGAUCCAUCCCAGGGAUCCAUCCCAGGAAUCCAUCACUGGGAUCCAUCCCAGGAUCCAUUGCUGGGAUCCAUCCCAGGAAUCCACCCCUGGAACCCAUCCCAGGGAUCAAUCCCAGGAAUCCACCCUAGGAAUCCAUCCCAGAAUCCACCCCAGGAUCCAUCGCUGGGAUCCAUCCCAGGGAUCCAUUCCAGGAAUCCAUCCCAGAACCCAUCCCAAAAUUCACCCCAGGAUCCACCCCAGGAUCCAUCCCAGGAAUUCAUCCCAGGGAGAAUCCAUCGCUGGGAUCCACCCCAGGGAUCCACCCCAGGAUCCACCCCAGGAUCCACCCACACCACCCGCCACGGUUGCUAAAAGAAUAAACAACAAAACCACAAACA